RNAcentral lists this ribosomal RNA (440 nucleotides) under uncultured bacterium. RNAcentral describes it as "partial 16S ribosomal RNA". It matches the Rfam family "Bacterial small subunit ribosomal RNA", at positions 338 to 795 of the family's 1533-position model. The record is from RNAcentral.
CCUACGGGAUGCAGCAGUGGGGAAUAUUGCCCAAUGGGGGAAACCCUACUGCAGCGCCGCCCCUUGGGUGAAGAAUUAAUUAGUUAUGUAAAGCGCUAUCAGCAGGAAAUAAAAUGACGGUACCUGCGUAAGAAUCCCCGGCUAACGACGUGCCAGCAGCCGCGGUAAUUCGUAGGGGGCAAGCGGUGUCCGGAUUUACUUGGUGUAACGGUAGCGUAGGCGGCAUUGCAAGUCUGGAGGGAAAUGCGGGGGCUACACCCCCGGACUGCGCUGGACACUGUACGGCUGGAGUGCAGGAGAGGUAAGUGGAAUUACUAGUGUAGCGGUGAAAUGCGUAGAUAUUAGGAGGAACACCAGUGGCGAAGGCGGCUUACUGGACAGUAACUGACGUUGAGGCUCGAAAGCGUGGGGAGCAAACAGGAUUAGAUACCCGGGUAGUC